RNAcentral lists this ribosomal RNA (795 nucleotides) under uncultured bacterium. Its description in RNAcentral is "bacterial SSU rRNA". It matches the Rfam family "Bacterial small subunit ribosomal RNA", at positions 8 to 803 of the family's 1533-position model. The record is from RNAcentral.
AGAGUUUGAUCAUGGGGCUCAGAAUGAACGUUGGCGGCAUGGAUUAGGCAUGCAAGUCGCGCGAGAAGUUAAAACUGCUUGCAGUUUUGAUGGACAGCGGCGCAAGGGAGAGUAACGCGUGGAUAUCUGCCCCUAGACUCGGGAUAGCAGCGGGAAACUGCUGGUAAUACCGAAUAAUGUCUCCGGACCAAAGGUGUGAUUCCGUCUAGGGAUGAGUCCGCGUCCUAUUAGCUUGUUGGUGGGGUAAUGGCCUACCAAGGCUAUGAUGGGUACCGGGUGUGAGAGCAUGGCCCGGCUCACUGGGACUGAGACACUGCCCAGACACCUACGGGUGGCUGCAGUCGAGAAUCUUCGGCAAUGGGCGCAAGCCUGACCGAGCGAUGCCGCGUGCGGGAUGAAGGCCUUCGGGUUGUAAACCGCUGUCAGUGGGGAUGAAAUGCAUAGAGGUUAUCCUCUAUGUUUGACAUAUCUUCAGAGGAAGUACGGGCUAAGUUCGUGCCAGCAGCCGCGGUAAGACGAACCGUACAAACGUUAUUCGGAAUCACUGGGCUUAAAGGGUGCGUAGGCGGCGUGACAAGUUGGGUGUGAAAUCCCUCGGCUCAACCGGGGAACUGCGCCCAAAACUGUCAUGCUAGAGGGAGAUAGAGGUGAGCGGAACUUAGGGGUGGAGCGGUGAAAUGCGUUGAUAUCCUAAGGAACACCUGUGGCGAAAGCGGCUCACUGGAUCUCUUCUGACGCUGAGGCACGAAAGCUAGGGUAGCGAACGGGAUUAGAUACCCCGGUAGUCCUAGCUGU